Molecule: ribosomal RNA, 467 nt
Filed under: uncultured bacterium
Lineage: Bacteria
Description: partial 16S ribosomal RNA
Rfam family: Bacterial small subunit ribosomal RNA
Source: RNAcentral
GACGAACGCUGGCGGCGUGCUUAACACAUGCAAGUCGAACGGAAAGGCCCUGCUUUUGUGGGGUGCUCGAGUGGCGAACGGGUGAGUAACACGUGAGUAACCUGCCCUUGACUUUGGGAUAACUUCAGGAAACUGGGGCUAAUACCGGAUAGGAGCUCCUGCUGCAUGGUGGGGGUUGGAAAGUUUCGGCGGUUGGGGAUGGACUCGCGGCUUAUCAGCUUGUUGGUGGGGUAGUGGCUUACCAAGGCUUUGACGGGUAGCCGGCCUGGGAGGGUGACCGGCAACAUUGGGCCGGAGAUACGGCCCAGACUCCAACGGGAGGAAGAAGUGGGGAAUAUUGAAAAAGGGGCGGAAGCCUGAUGAAGAAACGCCGCGUGCGGGAUGACGGCCUUCGGGUUGUAAACCGCUUUCGCCUGUGACGAAGCGUGAGUGACGGUAAUGGGAAAAGAAGCACCGGCUACCUAGGU